Molecule: non-coding RNA, 108 nt
Organism: Podarcis lilfordi (Lilford's wall lizard)
Lineage: Eukaryota; Metazoa; Chordata; Lepidosauria; Squamata; Lacertidae
Source: the annotation of a GenBank genome assembly
CUUCCAGUAGCACCUUAGAGACCAACUAAGUUUGUUAUUGGUAUGAGCUUUCAUGUGCCAGUAACAAACUUAGUUGGUCUUAGUUGGUCUCUAAGGUGCUACUGGAAG